Molecule: unclassified non-coding RNA, 398 nt
Filed under: Hevea brasiliensis (rubber tree)
Lineage: Eukaryota; Viridiplantae; Streptophyta; Magnoliopsida; Malpighiales; Euphorbiaceae
Source: RNAcentral
CAGUGGAACCUGUUCAGGAAAAGGUGUUGCCGCUGAAAUUGUUGCAUUUCUACAGGGCUGAUGUGUAGAGUUUGGCACAAGCAAGCCCCAGUUUCUGAAUCUUGUAUUUUACUUUAUUUUCGUUGGUAGGAUGUAGGUUUGUCUGUAGCAUAAUAGUGAUGACCCUUAUUAAGAAAUGGAUAAUAUGGGUGGUAGAAAUAGGGUUAUGAAGUCAUAUAGCUUUGUGGAUAGCCGUCUUGUAUGGCAAUGAAUAGGCCUGUUGUCUAACCAGGGUUGGGGGAAUACAUGGGUGUACAUUGCUGACAUUUGUCUGCUCUGUAAAUGAGUUGUAAUGGUUCGACUCUCAAAUGUUGAAAAUUUGAGCGUAUCUCUUCUUUAUUAUAGUAAAUAAAUCAAGC